AUGUUUUCACCGCCGCCCAACCCGUCUCUUCCGCUGCCAGUCACCUCGUCGCCUUCGGCGACCAUCACGACCGUCGCCCCGCUCCUGCCCGCGCCGGGAUUCUCUGUCGCGCCAGUCCCCUCCGUCCUCACCCCGGAGGUGUCCGGGGCACUGCGGGACCUAACCCAGGCGGUCCAGGAGAUCCGCCUGUUCUUGUCCGGGUCCUACGGGCCACACCCGGCUGCGCCGCCCAUCGCCGCCACCGCGCCGCUGUGGCUGCCGUGGCAGCCGCUGCCCCAGGCGGCCUCCGCUGCACUCGCCGGGCGGCUGCAGCAGCUGCCAUCCACCGCCCCGCCCUGGCUGCAGUGGCCGCNNNNNNGACCGACGCUCCGCCUCCCCGCCGCGCUCGCCGGGCCGCUGCAGCUGCCAUCCACCGCCCCGCGUUGGCUACAGUGGCAGGCGCCGCUCCUGGCGGCCUCCGCCGCGCCUGGCGCUCCGCUGCAGCAGCCAUCGCCGGUCAGCUCCGGCCCUACAUGGACCGCGCCGGCGGGAGCCCCGAUCCACCAGAUCAAGUUCCCUCUGUCGCCAUUACCGCUUCCCCAGGGCGUCCCCAUCCAGCAGAUCAAGUUCCCGCCGUCGCCGUCACCACUUCUGGCUUGGAUCACUACCCGCCACGUGUCGGCGGCGGUGAGGCUGCAGGCUGCUGCGCGCGGCCUCCUAGCGCGUCGGCGUGUGCGGGAGAUGCGUGGUCUGUAG
RNAcentral lists this ribosomal RNA (735 nucleotides) under Triticum aestivum (bread wheat). RNAcentral's name for it is "partial small subunit ribosomal RNA". The record is from RNAcentral. Lineage: Eukaryota; Viridiplantae; Streptophyta; Magnoliopsida; Poales; Poaceae.